UACGAAGGGGGCUAGCGUUACUCGGAUUGACUGGGCGUAAAGGGCGCGUAGGCGGCUUGUACAGUCAGACGUGAAAUUCCUGGGCUCAACCUGGGGGCUGCGUUUGAUACGUAUGGGCUUGAGUUCGGAAGAGGGCCGUGGAAUUCCCAGUGUAGAGGUGAAAUUCGUAGAUAUUGGGAAGAACACCGGUGGCGAAGGCGGCGACCUGGUCCGAUACUGACGCUGAGGCGCGAAAGCGUGGGGAGCAAACAGG
This 253-nucleotide ribosomal RNA is filed under the name uncultured bacterium. RNAcentral describes it as "partial 16S ribosomal RNA". It matches the Rfam family "Bacterial small subunit ribosomal RNA", at positions 524 to 776 of the family's 1533-position model. The record is from RNAcentral.